UCUGGCCCCUGAGGGCACUUGGCAUAC
Molecule: non-coding RNA, 27 nt
Filed under: Cricetulus griseus (Chinese hamster)
Lineage: Eukaryota; Metazoa; Chordata; Mammalia; Rodentia; Cricetidae
Source: RNAcentral